GUUGUGGCUCAGUAGUAGAGUGCUUGCCUAGCAUGUGUGAGGCACUGGGUUCGAUUCUCAGCACAACA
Molecule: transfer RNA, 68 nt
Filed under: Marmota marmota marmota (Alpine marmot)
Lineage: Eukaryota; Metazoa; Chordata; Mammalia; Rodentia; Sciuridae
Also listed under: 1 other name
Rfam family: tRNA
About the family: Transfer RNA (tRNA) molecules are approximately 80 nucleotides in length. Their secondary structure includes four short double-helical elements and three loops (D, anti-codon, and T loops).
Source: Rfam by way of RNAcentral